This 68-nucleotide transfer RNA is filed under the name Capra hircus (goat). It matches the Rfam family "tRNA". Rfam says of the family: Transfer RNA (tRNA) molecules are approximately 80 nucleotides in length. Their secondary structure includes four short double-helical elements and three loops (D, anti-codon, and T loops). Lineage: Eukaryota; Metazoa; Chordata; Mammalia; Artiodactyla; Bovidae. RNAcentral also lists the same sequence under 1 other name. The record is from Rfam by way of RNAcentral.
CCUGGUGGCUCAGUGGUAAAGGAUCUGCCUGUAAUGCAGAAGAUACAGGUUCAAUCCCUGCGUCAGGA